RNAcentral lists this ribosomal RNA (253 nucleotides) under uncultured bacterium. RNAcentral's name for it is "partial 16S ribosomal RNA". It matches the Rfam family "Bacterial small subunit ribosomal RNA", at positions 524 to 776 of the family's 1533-position model. The record is from RNAcentral.
UACGUAGGGUGCAGGCGUUAAUCGGAAUUACUGGGCGUAAAGCGUGCGCAGGCGGUCUGCUAAGACAGGUGUGAAAUCCCCGGGCUUAACCUGGGAACUGCGCUUGUUACUGGCAGGCUUGAGUGUGGCAGAGGGGGGUGGAAUUCCACGUGUAGCAGUGAAAUGCGUAGAGAUGUGGAGGAACACCGAUGGCGAAGGCAGCCCCCUGGGCUAACACUGACGCUCAUGCACGAAAGCGUGGGGAGCAAACAGG